This 1441-nucleotide ribosomal RNA is filed under the name uncultured bacterium. RNAcentral describes it as "bacterial SSU rRNA". It matches the Rfam family "Bacterial small subunit ribosomal RNA". The record is from RNAcentral.
GACGAACGCUGGCGGCGUGCUUAACACAUGCAAGUCGAACGGAAAGGCCCUUCGGGGUACUCGAGUGGCGAACGGGUGAGUAACACGUGGGUGAUCUGCCCUGCACUUUGGGAUAAGCCUGGGAAACUGGGUCUAAUACCGGAUAGGACUACGGCCUGCAUGGGUUGUGGUGGAAAGCUUUUGCGGUGUGGGAUGGGCCCGCGGCCUAUCAGCUUGUUGGUGGGGUGAUGGCCUACCAAGGCGACGACGGGUAGCCGGCCUGAGAGGGUGACCGGCCACACUGGGACUGAGAUACGGCCCAGACUCCUACGGGAGGCAGCAGUGGGGAAUAUUGCACAAUGGGCGCAAGCCUGAUGCAGCGACGCCGCGUGGGGGAUGACGGCCUUCGGGUUGUAAACCUCUUUCAGUAGGGACGAAGCGUAAGUGACGGUACCUAUAGAAGAAGCACCGGCCAACUACGUGCCAGCAGCCGCGGUAAUACGUAGGGUGCGAGCGUUGUCCGGAAUUACUGGGCGUAAAGAGCUCGUAGGUGGUUUGUCGCGUUGUUCGUGAAAACUCACAGCUUAACUGUGGGCGUGCGGGCGAUACGGGCAGACUAGAGUACUGCAGGGGAGACUGGAAUUCCUGGUGUAGCGGUGGAAUGCGCAGAUAUCAGGAGGAACACCGGUGGCGAAGGCGGGUCUCUGGGCAGUAACUGACGCUGAGGAGCGAAAGCGUGGGGAGCGAACAGGAUUAGAUACCCUGGUAGUCCACGCCGUAAACGGUGGGUACUAGGUGUGGGUUUCCUUCCUUGGGAUCCGUGCCGUAGCUAACGCAUUAAGUACCCCGCCUGGGGAGUACGGCCGCAAGGCUAAAACUCAAAGGAAUUGACGGGGGCCCGCACAAGCGGCGGAGCAUGUGGAUUAAUUCGAUGCAACGCGAAGAACCUUACCUGGGUUUGACAUGCACAGGACGCCGGCAGAGAUGUCGGUUCCCUUGUGGCCUGUGUGCAGGUGGUGCAUGGCUGUCGUCAGCUCGUGUCGUGAGAUGUUGGGUUAAGUCCCGCAACGAGCGCAACCCUUGUCUCAUGUUGCCAGCACGUUAUGGUGGGGACUCGUGAGAGACUGCCGGGGUCAACUCGGAGGAAGGUGGGGAUGACGUCAAGUCAUCAUGCCCCUUAUGUCCAGGGCUUCACACAUGCUACAAUGGCCGGUACAAAGGGCUGCGAUGCCGUAAGGUGGAGCGAAUCCUUGAAAGCCGGUCUCAGUUCGGAUCGGGGUCUGCAACUCGACCCCGUGAAGUCGGAGUCGCUAGUAAUCGCAGAUCAGCAACGCUGCGGUGAAUACGUUCCCGGGCCUUGUACACACCGCCCGUCACGUCAUGAAAGUCGGUAACACCCGAAGCCGGUGGCCUAACCCCUUGUGGGAGGGAGCUGUCGAAGGUGGGAUCGGCGAUUGGGACG